Rhinolophus ferrumequinum (greater horseshoe bat) is the source of this 127-nucleotide small nucleolar RNA. NCBI's taxonomy places the organism in Eukaryota, Metazoa, Chordata, Mammalia, Chiroptera, Rhinolophidae. The record is from Ensembl.
UUUCACAGAUACUGAUCGGCAGCUGUUCUUAUGGUGGCAUUUGUGGCAUUCCUCUGUGGGAGAGAAACUUACAUGGUUAAACACUUCUUUCUUAGCAAGAUAGAGUAGGCAUGUGUGACAAACACAA